UACGGAGGGUGCAAGCGUUAAUCGGAAUUACUGGGCGUAAAGCGUGCGUAGGCGGUCCGCUAAGUCAGAUGUGAAAGCCCCGGGCUUAACCUGGGAACUGCAUUUGAAACUGGCGAACUAGAGUUGAGUAGAGGAAAGUGGAAUUUCAGGUGUAGCGGUGAAAUGCGUAGAUAUCUGAAGGAACACCAGUGGCGAAGGCGACUUUCUGGACUCAAACUGACGCUGAGGUACGAAAGCGUGGGUAGCAAACAGG
Molecule: ribosomal RNA, 253 nt
Filed under: uncultured Methylomonas sp.
Lineage: Bacteria; Pseudomonadati; Pseudomonadota; Gammaproteobacteria; Methylococcales; Methylococcaceae
Description: partial 16S ribosomal RNA
Rfam family: Bacterial small subunit ribosomal RNA
Source: RNAcentral